Molecule: ribosomal RNA, 497 nt
Filed under: uncultured bacterium
Lineage: Bacteria
Description: partial 16S ribosomal RNA
Rfam family: Bacterial small subunit ribosomal RNA
Source: RNAcentral
GAUGAACGCUGGCGGCGUGCCUAAUACAUGCAAGUCGAGCGAACGGACGAGAAGCUUGCGUCUCUGAUGUUAGCGGCGGACGGGUGAGUAACACGUGGAUAACCUACCUAUAAGACUUGGAUAACUUCGGAAAACCGGAGAUAAUACCGGAUAAUAUUUUGAACCGCAUGGUUCAAAAGUUAUAGACGGUCUUCGUGUCACUUAUAGAUGGAUCCGCGCUGCAUUAGCUAGUUGGUAAGGUAACGGCUUACCAAGGCGACGAUGCAUAGCCGACCUGAGAGGGUGAUCGGCCACACUGGAACUGAGACACGGUCCAGACUCCUACGGGAGGCAGCAGUAGGGAAUCUUCGGCAAUGGGCGAAAGCCUGACGGAGCAACGCCGCGUGAGUGAUGAAGGUCUUCGGGUCGUAAAACCCUGUUAUUGGGGAAGAACAGAUGUGGAAGUAACUGUGCAUGUCUUGACGGUACCUAAACAGAAAGCAACGGCUAACUACGUG